This 452-nucleotide ribosomal RNA is filed under the name Pseudomonadota bacterium. RNAcentral's name for it is "bacterial SSU rRNA". It matches the Rfam family "Bacterial small subunit ribosomal RNA", at positions 50 to 497 of the family's 1533-position model. The record is from RNAcentral. Lineage: Bacteria; Pseudomonadati; Pseudomonadota.
CUAACAUGCAAGUCGAGCGGUAGAGAGAAGCUUGCUUCUCUUGAGAGCGGCGGACGGGUGAGUAAUGCCUAGGAAUCUGCCUGGUAGUGGGGGAUAACGCUCGGAAACGGACGCUAAUACCGCAUACGUCCUACGGGAGAAAGCAGGGGACCUUCGGGCCUUGCGCUAUCAGAUGAGCCUAGGUCGGAUUAGCUAGUUGGUGAGGUAAUGGCUCACCAAGGCGACGAUCCGUAACUGGUCUGAGAGGAUGAUCAGUCACACUGGAACUGAGACACGGUCCAGACUCCUACGGGAGGCAGCAGUGGGGAAUAUUGGACAAUGGGCGAAAGCCUGAUCCAGCCAUGCCGCGUGUGUGAAGAAGGUCUUCGGAUUGUAAAGCACUUUAAGUUGGGAGGAAGGGCAGUUACCUAAUACGUAUCUGUUUUGACGUUACCGACAGAAUAAGCACCGGC